GACGAACGCUGGCGGCGUGCUUAACACAUGCAAGUCGAACGGAAAGGCCCCUUUGGGGGUACUCGCGUGGCGGACGGGUGAGUAACACGUGCGUAACCUGCCCUUGCCUUCGGGAUAACUUCAGGAAACUGGGGCUAAUACCGGAUAGGAAUCCUUGCUUCAUGCUGGGGGUUGGAAAGCUUGGGCGGUUUGGGAUGGACUCACGGCUUAUCAGUUGGUUGGUGGGGUAGUGGCUUACCAAGGCUUGGAGGGGUGGCCGGCCUGGGAGGGCGACGGGCCACUUUGGGACGGGGAUACGGCCAGACCCCUACGGGGGGGAAGCGGGGGGAAAAAUGGACAAAGGGCGGGAGGCCGAUGCAACAAAGCCGGGUGGGGGGUGACCGGCUUCGGGUUGUAAACCGCCUUCAGCAGGGGCGAAGCUUGUGGUGACGGUACCUGCAGAAGAAGCACCGGCUAACUACGUG
RNAcentral lists this ribosomal RNA (464 nucleotides) under uncultured bacterium. RNAcentral's name for it is "partial 16S ribosomal RNA". It matches the Rfam family "Bacterial small subunit ribosomal RNA", at positions 28 to 507 of the family's 1533-position model. The record is from RNAcentral.